RNAcentral lists this ribosomal RNA (499 nucleotides) under Phoma sp. Its description in RNAcentral is "eukaryotic LSU rRNA". The stretch from base 186 to 339 matches the Rfam family "5.8S ribosomal RNA". The record is from RNAcentral. Lineage: Eukaryota; Fungi; Ascomycota; Dothideomycetes; Pleosporales; Didymellaceae.
CUAGGUAAUGCUCUUUCCGUAGGUGAACCUGCGGAAGGAUCAUUACCUAGAGUUGUAGGCUUUGCCUGCUAUCUCUUACCCAUGUCUUUUGAGUACCUUACGUUUCCUCGGCGGGUCCGCCCGCCGAUUGGACAAUUUAAACCAUUUGCAGUUGCAAUCAGCGUCUGAAAAAACUUAAUAGUUACAACUUUCAACAACGGAUCUCUUGGUUCUGGCAUCGAUGAAGAACGCAGCGAAAUGCGAUAAGUAGUGUGAAUUGCAGAAUUCAGUGAAUCAUCGAAUCUUUGAACGCACAUUGCGCCCCUUGGUAUUCCAUGGGGCAUGCCUGUUCGAGCGUCAUUUGUACCUUCAAGCUCUGCUUGGUGUUGGGUGUUUGUCUCGCCUCUGCGUGUAGACUCGCCUCAAAACAAUUGGCAGCCGGCGUAUUGAUUUCGGAGCGCAGUACAUCUCGCGCUUUGCACUCAUAACGACGACGUCCAAAAGUACAUUUUUACACUCU